This 486-nucleotide ribosomal RNA is filed under the name uncultured bacterium. Its description in RNAcentral is "partial 16S ribosomal RNA". It matches the Rfam family "Bacterial small subunit ribosomal RNA", at positions 30 to 507 of the family's 1533-position model. The record is from RNAcentral.
AUUGAACGCUGGCGGCAUGCCUUACACAUGCAAGUCGAACGGCAGCACGGGUGCUUGCACCUGGUGGCGAGUGGCGAACGGGUGAGUAAUACAUCGGAACAUGUCCUGUAGUGGGGGAUAGCCCGGCGAAAGCCGGAUUAAUACCGCAUACGAUCUACGGAUGAAAGCGGGGAACCUUCGGGCCUCGCGCUAUAGGGUUGGCCGAUGGCUGAUUAGCUAGUUGGUGGGGUAAAGGCCUACCAAGGCGACGAUCAGUAGCUGGUCUGAGAGGACGACCAGCCACACUGGGACUGAGACACGGCCCAGACUCCUACGGGAGGCAGCAGUGGGGAAUUUUGGACAAUGGGCGAAAGCCUGAUCCAGCAAUGCCGCGUGUGUGAAGAAGGCCUUCGGGUUGUAAAGCACUUUUGUCCGGAAAGAAAUCCUUGGCCCUAAUACGGUCGGGGGAUGACGGUACCGGAAGAAUAAGCACCGGCUAACUACGUG